GGUUAAGUUAGAAAGGGCGCACGGUGGAUGCCUUGGCACUAGGAGCCGAAGAAGGACGGGACUAACACCGAUAUGCUUUGGGGAGCUGUACGUAAGCGUUGAUCCAGAGAUUUCCGAAUGGGGGAACCCACUAUCUUUAGUCGGAUAGUAUCCUUACGUGAAUACAUAGCGUGAGGAAGGCAGACCCAGGGAACUGAAACAUCUAAGUACCUGGAGGAAGAGAAAGAAAAAUCGAUUUCCUGAGUAGCGGCGAGCGAAACGGAAAGAGCCCAAACCAAGAAGCUUGCUUCUUGGGGUUGUAGGACACUCUAUACGGAGUUACAAAAGAAAGUUAUAAAUGAAGCGGUCUGGAAAGGCCCGCCAAAGACGGUAACAGCCCGGUAGUUGAAAUGGCUUUCCCUCCAGAGUGGAUCCUGAGUACGGCGGAACACGUGAAAUUCCGUCGGAAUCCGGGAGGACCAUCUCCCAAGGCUAAAUACUCCCUAGUGACCGAUAGUGAACCAGUACCGUGAGGGAAAGGUGAAAAGCACCCCGGAAGGGGAGUGAAACAGUUCCUGAAACCGUGUGCCUACAAGUAGUUAGAGCCCGUUAAUGGGUGAUAGCGUGCCUUUUGUAGAAUGAACCGGCGAGUUACGAUUUGUUGCAAGGUUAAGCGGAAAAAGCGGAGCCGUAGCGAAAGCGAGUCUGAAUAGGGCGCAUAAGUAACAGGUCGUAGACCCGAAACCAGGUGAUCUACCCAUGUCCAGGAUGAAGGUAAGGUAAUACUUACUGGAGGUCCGAACCCACGCACGUUGAAAAGUGCGGGGAUGAGGUGUGGGUAGCGGAGAAAUUCCAAUCGAACUUGGAGAUAGCUGGUUCUCUCCGAAAUAGCUUUAGGGCUAGCCUCGAGGUAAAGAGUCAUGGAGGUAGAGCACUGUUUGGACUAGGGGCCCUUCUCGGGUUACCGAAUUCAGAUAAACUCCGAAUGCCAUGUACUUAUACUCGGGAGUCAGACUGCGAGUGAUAAGAUCCGUAGUCGAAAGGGAAACAGCCCAGACCACCAGUUAAGGUCCCCAAAUAUAUGUUAAGUGGAAAAGGAUGU
Molecule: ribosomal RNA, 1081 nt
Filed under: Listeria monocytogenes
Lineage: Bacteria; Bacillati; Bacillota; Bacilli; Caryophanales; Listeriaceae
Description: partial 23S ribosomal RNA
Rfam family: Bacterial large subunit ribosomal RNA
Source: RNAcentral